GGACCGCUGGUGUACCUGUUGGAGACCAACUCCAUAGCAGGGUAGCCAAGUCCGGCAGGGAUAAACGCUGAAGGCAUCUAAGCGUGAAGCCCCCCUCAAGAUGGGAUAUCCCAUUCGUCAAGAAGUAAGAUCCCUUGAAGACGACAAGGUAGAUAGGGCUCGAGUGUAAGUGUGGUAACACACUCAGCGGAGAGUCACUAAUCGAUCGAGGGCUUGUCCUG
RNAcentral lists this ribosomal RNA (221 nucleotides) under Lachnospiraceae bacterium. RNAcentral describes it as "partial 23S ribosomal RNA". It matches the Rfam family "Bacterial large subunit ribosomal RNA", at positions 2703 to 2925 of the family's 2925-position model. The record is from RNAcentral. Lineage: Bacteria; Bacillati; Bacillota; Clostridia; Lachnospirales; Lachnospiraceae.